GGAAUAUUGGACAAUGGGGGCAACCCUGAUCCAGCCAUGCCGCGUGUGUGAAGAAGGCCUUAGGGUUGUAAAGCACUUUCAGUGGGGAGGAAAACUUGUUGGUUAAUAACCAGCGAGCUUGACGUUACCCACCGAAGAAGCACCGGCUAACUCCGUGCCAGCAGCCGCGGUAAUACGGAGGGUGCAAGCGUUAAUCGGAAUUACUGGGCGUAAAGCGCACGUAGGUGGUUUGUUAAGCCAGCUGUGAAAUCCCCGGGCUCAACCUGGGAAUUGCAGUUGGAACUGGCAGGCUUGAGUACAGUAGAGGGGUGUGGAAUUUCAGGUGUAGCGGUGAAAUGCGUAGAUAUCUGAAGGAACAUCAGUGGCGAAGGCGACACCCUGGACUGAUACUGACACUGAGGUGCGAAAGCGUGGGGAGCA
This 420-nucleotide ribosomal RNA is filed under the name uncultured bacterium. RNAcentral's name for it is "bacterial SSU rRNA". It matches the Rfam family "Bacterial small subunit ribosomal RNA", at positions 358 to 770 of the family's 1533-position model. The record is from RNAcentral.